AACGAACGCUGGCGGCAGGCUUAACACAUGCAAGUCGAACGCAUCCUUCGGGGUGAGUGGCAGACGGGUGAGUAACGCGUGGGAACGUGCCCUUCAGUUCGGGAUAACCCAGGGAAACUUGGGCUAAUACCGGAUACGUGCGAGAGCAGAAAGAUUUAUCGCUGAAGGAUCGGCCCGCGUCUGAUUAGCUAGUUGGUGGGGUAAUGGCCCACCAAGGCGACGAUCAGUAGCUGGUCUGAGAGGAUGAUCAGCCACAUUGGGACUGAGACACGGCCCAAACUCCUACGUGAGGCAGCAGUGGGGAAUAUUGGACAAUGGGCGCAAGCCUGAUCCAGCCAUGUCGCGUGAGUGAUGAAGGCCUUAGGGUUUUAAAGCUCUUUCGUCCGGGACGAUAAGGACGGUACCGGAAGAAGAAGCCCCGGCUAACUUCGUGCCAGCCGCCGCCGUAA
Molecule: ribosomal RNA, 449 nt
Filed under: uncultured bacterium
Lineage: Bacteria
Description: partial 16S ribosomal RNA
Rfam family: Bacterial small subunit ribosomal RNA
Source: RNAcentral